GUUACAUUUCAAAUACCUUUUUAUGUCCUGGGAAUACAUCAGUGAACAAAAUAGUCAAUAAACCCUGCUGUCAAUGGACUUCACAUUCUAAUGUGGGGAAACAGCCAAUAAAGACAAACAGACAAACAAAUUCCCUAUGUCUGGCAGUUGUAGGUGGUAUGGAGAAAAAUAAGGUGACCAUUGCUCUGAGUAUCAAUCAUCCUGCUCUCAGCCAAUCCUGUCAUUGCCAAAUUGCCUCAUGAACAAAGUGACCACAGCAGCAGUGAUAGAGGUUAUACAUGGGAUCAGAAUAUAGGAUUUCCACUCACCAGGGCACAGCUGGCUACAGCCACUGCUGAGUGCCAAUAUGUCCACAGCAGAAACCAACACUUAGCCCCUGUUAUGGCACCAUUCCCUGGGAUUAGCAGUCAACUCAACAGGUGGAAGAGGCAAUACUUUGUUUUCACUGGAGUAGACAUUUACUCUGGAUAUGGAUUUUCCUUCCCUGUCUACAAUGCUUCUGCCAAAGUAACUCCCCAUGGACUUAUAGAAUGCCAUAUUCACCAUGUUGGUAUAACACACAACAUCAUUUCUGACCAACCAAAUAAUUUCCUAGCCAACGAAGUUUGGCAAUGAGCUCAGGUCCAUGACAUUUAUUGGAUGUACACAUUCCUCAUUAUCUUGAAAGAGCUGGAUGAUAAAACAGAACAAGGAUCUUUUGAAUUCUUACUUAUGGUUGUAUUUUGGUUGUAAACCCUUGUAGAUGUGGGGCAGUUUUCUCCAGGAUGUGAUAUAUGCUCUAAACCAGCAGCUAUACAUGGAGAUGCUUCUCCUGUGGCCAAGAUUCAUGGAUCUGUGAAUCCAAGGGUGGAAAUGAGAAGUACUUCCUUUCACUAUUACCACAAGUGAUCCAUUAGGGAAAACAAAAGAUUCCAUUGCCCUGUGACUUUAGGUUCUACUGGUUGAGAAGUCUUAAAUCCAAAAGGAGAAAUGCUUAUAUCAAUGACAAAAUAAUUAUUUUAUUGAACUGGAAUUUGAGAUGCCAACCUAACCACUUUUAGCUCCUCGUGGCAAUGAAUCAAUGUGCAAAGAAGGAGAUUUCGGCUCUGGCUGGGUAACUGACUCUGACAAUUAAGUGAAUGGUGGGUUGCUACUACAGAACGCAGACUCACAAUAGCAUGUCUGGAACACAGGUGUACCCCCAGGGAGAUCUCUUAAUACACUCAAGUCCUGUGAUUAAAGUCAGUGGAAAAGUUGUAUUGUGUCAGGGGAAGCAUGACUUUAUUACUGUUUUUAUUGGAAAUUAUUGUGUUUAAAGAGAGAUAUAUGGGUACUAAGUGACAAAAGGUGGACUGCAUUGGCUUUGUAAUGUGGUAACUUAGAUAAGCUGAACUGCUUUUCCCAGGAUAUUCUUAGCCUGUAUGUUUGUGAAGAGAGUGGGCCGUAAGAGAUAUCUUUGUAAAAAUUUAGGGGCACAGAAGCAAAGCAGCCGCUCUACUCAUCUUUACGUGCAGAAGCCUACAGCAAGGUCCUUGGGCACUUUUGUAGCUCACACAGGUUGUUUUCUGCAGGCUGAACUUGUACAGGUGGGGCAGCAGCAGGUCUGCAACUAAUAUAAGUUCCCCUGGAGCCUCCUUCAGCUUCUCAGGAUCCUGGGCCAGAUGCGUGUUUAGCUCCAUGAAGAGGGGCAGCAGCUUCUCAUGCAGGACACCAGUCUCAUCACACUCGGGAGCAAUGAGAACUGAAAAGGGUUCCAGUUAAUCCUUGUGGGUUCCAGUUUUUGCACAAGUCCCAGUUUAUCUUUGCUCUUCCUUUUAUCCAUCUAUCCGUCCUUAUGCGUCUUUCUUUCCUAACUGCCUGCACUGCAGUCUUGGAGCUCCAGCAUCAAAUAUGAAAACCAGGGUCCGACAGAGACAAAUAGUAGUUCUGUUUGUUUCAUUGAACUCUGCUGAUAGAAGUGGGACGGUAUGUUUUCAUUGAGGAGAACAGUUUGGUAAACACUGAAGAGGAGAACGAAGGAGUUGGUUUUCCUUUGACUCUCCCAUUAGGAGGUCACCAGGAUAGACUGAAGUUAAGAAAUAGCUAUUAAAGUUAAAAUCAGUAAAAUUACUCACAGUGGCAUAUUUCAAACAGGAAUUCAUUAUUC
Molecule: long non-coding RNA, 2125 nt
Filed under: Equus caballus (horse)
Lineage: Eukaryota; Metazoa; Chordata; Mammalia; Perissodactyla; Equidae
Description: lncRNA (ENSECAG00000055522.1)
Source: RNAcentral